GACGAACGCUGGCGGCGUGCUUAACACAUGCAAGUCGAACGGAAAGGCCCUGCUUUUGUGGGGUGCUCGAGUGGCGAACGGGUGAGUAACACGUGAGUAACCUGCCCUUGACUUUGGGAUAACUUCAGGAAACUGGGGCUAAUACCGGAUAGGAUCUCCUGCUGCAUGGUGGGGGUUGGAAAGUUUCGGCGGUUGGGGAUGGACUCGCGGCUUAUCAGCUUGUUGGUGGGGUAGUGGCUUACCAAGGCUUUGACGGGUAGCCGGCCUGAGAGGGUGACCGGCGACAAUGGGACUGAGAUACGGCCCAGACGCCUACGGGCGGCAGCAGUGGGGAAUAUUGCACAAUAGGCGGAAGCCUGAUGCAGCAACGCCGCGUGCGGGAUGACGGCCUUCGGGUUGUAAACCGCUUUCGCAUGUGACGAAGCGUGAGUGACGGUAAUGGGUAAAGAAGCACCGGCUAACUACGUG
Molecule: ribosomal RNA, 468 nt
Filed under: uncultured bacterium
Lineage: Bacteria
Description: partial 16S ribosomal RNA
Rfam family: Bacterial small subunit ribosomal RNA
Source: RNAcentral